RNA transcript from Bombus pyrosoma, 1703 nucleotides. RefSeq lists it as uncharacterized. The transcript has 5 exons. The record is from RefSeq and is a predicted model, not a curated record. Lineage: Eukaryota; Metazoa; Arthropoda; Insecta; Hymenoptera; Apidae.
CGAUAAACUAAAACAUCGAGGAAAGUAAAAUAAAAUAAACAUUAUGAAUAAUUGAUUCGAUCUACGACAUCAAACAUAACCGCCAAAACUACGCAUCAUCACGAACAAACACACCCUGAAUUCAAUGCCGCGUUCACAAAUGAAAAUGUGAACUAUUACAUAGAAACAACGACGAAAUACCGUUGGAAAUAGGACAAAAUACCGAACAAACCGUCGUAUGACUGUCACCCAGCGGGGGAUUUGAUUAUAAAUAAGCGUAGCAACAUAGAAUUAGGACACUUUUGUUUUAGAGACACUUAUUGUUUUAGACACCUUUGUUCGAGUUACACAAUCGCUUGCUAGACACUUAGUUAUUUGUUUGAUACACUUCUUGGUUUAGAUACUUUUGUUUGAUAGACUUCUUGUUUAAGAGACUUGUUUGUUUUAUACAGACUUAUUGUCAAUUAGUUUCUUUGUUCGAUCGUACGCGAUUAAUUUGUUAAAACCGAAUCGCGAAAAUCUUUUAAGUUAGUAAAAAUCGAGUUUAUAAAUUUGUAACCGUGUGCCGCAAGUUCAAUGUAUAUCGUGAUUAAAUUAAUAAAUAAACUAAAAUUAAAUCAAGACUUUAUUAAUAAUUACACAACGCGCUAACCGCGUCAGCGGAACCCAGGACCUUCAACAUUUUUGAGCAUAAUACUCAAGUUUCUACAAUUUUAUUUCUCAACUCUGAGUCGUUCGCUUGGAAUGGUUACACGGCGCGUGUUGGUAUCAUCUAAUUCUUCGUUACAUUGUCAAUGCUUAUUAUAACUACCUUUACUUAUCCCAAAACUGUAAGUAUGCAUAAAAGAAAACGCCGUAUUCCGUAAGUAUUCACUUGAAUUUGGUAGUAAAUUUUAAUUUUAUAACUGUAUUGGCUUCUGCGUACACCCCUUUAAUGUGAGUAAUGAACUUCUUUACUUUUAUCAAUUUCUUUACAACAUUCUCCCCUUUUUAGGUUAUGAUGGUUUACCUCAGUAUUUAUUACCUUUGGUGUUUUUGUACCCGUGAAUGGAGUGGUCUCAAAAAUUUUCCAUUGGGCAACUCUGGUCGUCAUACAUCAUGUUCUACGAAUAUAGCCGCAUAACUUGUAUUUGUACAUACACUUCCUUCUGCGAUGAUUAAGUGCUUGCAAGAUUCCAAUUAUCCACAAUAUUCAACAAGCAGUAUUAUACCACAUACCAUCGUUCUUCAUCGCCUCAUAGCAUUGUUCUGGCUAUAAUCUAUUUCGGUUAUGCGCUAGUUUUAAUUUGUUCAAAUGCACUGUUCGCGGGACCCCUUUCACUUCGAUCUUAACGUUUUGAUUUUGCAAAAUUCCUAAUACUUUAUGCGGACUGGAAUAUUAAUCGGAGAGCUUCUCUUUGUUAGGUUCUUUUAUUUAUCGUGAAGACGAUCCAGAUGACUGUGCGAAGGCUUGCUUCCUUGAGGAGACUUCUACCGGAAUCCUGGAUAUUCUUCUGUCACUGCUUUUCUGGUCAGAGCGAUCUUCUCUGUACACUCCCAGUACAUGGAGAGACUUCGUGAAAUGUGUCUUGACGUUAUUUUACUCAUUUGGUUAAUAUCUCCAUUUGAUUAUUGCCUCCAGUGUUUGAUUUGAUUUAUUUUCCGGUGUAGGUUUUGGUGAUUAUGAUUUUAAAUGGUGAAUACAGAGGUGUCUUCGUUAAAGGUUCCUUAUGCAGACUGUCCUG